This 467-nucleotide ribosomal RNA is filed under the name uncultured bacterium. RNAcentral's name for it is "bacterial SSU rRNA". It matches the Rfam family "Bacterial small subunit ribosomal RNA", at positions 917 to 1382 of the family's 1533-position model. The record is from RNAcentral.
GGGCCCGCACAAGCGGUGGAGCAUGUGGUUUAAUUCGAGGCAACGCGAAGAACCUUACCCAGACUUGACAUCCCAGGACCGCCUAUGAAAGUAGGUUUUCCCUUCGGGGACCUGGAGACAGGUGUUGCAUGGCUGUCGUCAGCUCGUGUCGUGAGAUGUUGGGUUAAGUCCCGCAACGAGCGCAACCCUUGUCCUUAGUUACCAGCGGGUUAUGCCGGGCACUCUGAGGAGACUGCCGAUGAUAAGUCGGAGGAAGGUGGGGACGACGUCAAGUCAUCACGGCCCUUACGUCUGGGGCUACACACGUGCUACAAUGGUCGGUACAGAGGGACGCAAGAUCGCGAGAUGGAGCCAAUCCCAAAAAGCCGGCCUCAGUUCGGAUUGCAGUCUGCAACUCGACUGCAUGAAGUCGGAAUCGCUAGUAAUCGUGGGUCAGCUACACCACGGUGAAUACGUUCCCGGGCCUU